Non-coding RNA from Biomphalaria pfeifferi, 228 nucleotides. Lineage: Eukaryota; Metazoa; Mollusca; Gastropoda; Planorbidae. The record is from the annotation of a GenBank genome assembly.
CCAAAACUCAGUUAAAAAUUGAAAGUAUUCUAAUUCUCAGUUACCGUGAAUCAUUUAUCUCCCUUUCUCGAUCAUUUGCAUUUCUGUGUAGAAAGUAGACGAAACUUCCUGUUUACACUUCUCCACGAGACAGCCCUCGGUCGUAGAUGUGGUAAAGGGUGAGCUGUUCCUGGACCAUCAGAACUUCGACUAUUUUGUUUCUUUAUUUCGUAGAUUUAUCUUAUCUUC